RNAcentral lists this transfer RNA (72 nucleotides) under Danionella translucida. It matches the Rfam family "tRNA". Rfam says of the family: Transfer RNA (tRNA) molecules are approximately 80 nucleotides in length. The record is from Rfam by way of RNAcentral. RNAcentral also lists the same sequence under 1 other name. Lineage: Eukaryota; Metazoa; Chordata; Actinopteri; Cypriniformes; Danionidae.
GGUUCUAUGGUGUAAUGGUUAGCACUUUGGACUCUGAAUCCAGCGAUCCAAGUUCAAAUCACGGUAGGACCU